Molecule: ribosomal RNA, 207 nt
Filed under: uncultured bacterium
Lineage: Bacteria
Description: partial 16S ribosomal RNA
Rfam family: Bacterial small subunit ribosomal RNA
Source: RNAcentral
GGUGUAGGCGGUUUGUUAAGUCAGAUGUGAAAGCCCACGGCUCAACCGUGGAAGUGCACCUGAAACUGGCAGACUUGAGUACCGGAGAGGGAAGUGGAAUUCCUGGUGUAGGGGUGAAAUCCGUAGAUAUCAGGAGGAACACCGGUGGCGAAGGCGACUUCCUGGACGGAUACUGACGCUGAGAUCCGAAAGCGUGGGGAGCAAACA